CUGGUUGAUCCUACCAGUAAUAUACGCUUGUCUCAAAGGUUAAGCCAUGCAUGUCUAAGUACAAACAUAAAUGAAUGUGAAACCGCAUAAGGCUCAGUAUAACAGCUAUAAUUCACAAGAUCAUCCUACCACUAGUUACUUGGAUAACUGUGGAAAAUCCAGAGCUAAUACAUGCAACAUGCCGGGACUGUUGCCCUCGCGGGUAGCUGAACUGGUGCACUUAUUAGUUAAACCAAUCGCCUCCGGGCGGCUUGAGUUGAAGUCUGGAUAAGGACGCAGAUCGUAUGGUCGCUUGUCGACUGACGACAGAUCUUUCAAAUGUCUGCCCUAUCAACUAUUGAUGGUAGUGUAGAGGACUACCAUGGUUGCGACGGGUAACGGGGAAUCAGGGUUCGAUUCCGGAGAGGGAGCCUGAGAAAUGGCUACCACAUCCAAGGAAGGCAGCAGGCGCGUAAAUUACCCAAUCCCAGUACGGGGAGGUAGUGACGAGAAAUAACAAUAUGGACCUCUCUAACGAUGGUCCAUAAUUGGAAUGAGUUGAGUAUAAAUCCUUCAACAAGGAUCAAGUGGAGGGCAAGUCUGGUGCCAGCAGCCGCGGGUAAUUCCAGCUCCACUAGCGUAUAUUAAAGUUGUUGCGGUUAAAACGUUCGAAGUUGAUUGCCCGUCCAGACACGUGACCGCCACGGGCGCCCGGUUACACGCCGGGGCCGUUCGUGCGCGCGCUCACGGCUGCGACUCACAAUGGUGUACUUGGGCGUUACUCUGUGAACGAGUACCGUGCUACCGGUUAACUCCGGCACGGGCUCCUCAUGGUGCUCAAGAUACUCACAUUUACCUUGAACAAAUUAGAGUGCUCAAAGGCAGGCUAAGACAAAGCGUCCGGCCCCCCCGUGGGGUUGGCGUUGGCCGAGAAUAAUCUUGCAUGGAAUAAUGGAAUAUGACCUCGGUUUAUAACGAUUUCGUGGUUUGUCAGAAACCUAGAGGUAAUGAUUAACAGAAGUAGUUGGGGGCAUUGGUAUUACGGCGCGAGAGGUGAAAUUCGUAGACCGUCGUAGGACCAACUGAAGCGAAAGCGUUUGCCAUGGAUGCUUUCUUUAAUCAGAACGAAAGUUAGAGGAUCGAAGGCGAUUUAGAUACCGCCCUAGUUUCUAACCGUAACGAUGCCAAUUAGCAAUUGGGAGACGCUACCCCUAUUCGGUGCUCUCAGGUCGCUUCCGGGAAACCAAAAUCGGGUUCCG
RNAcentral lists this ribosomal RNA (1238 nucleotides) under Anopheles funestus (African malaria mosquito). Its description in RNAcentral is "eukaryotic small subunit ribosomal RNA". It matches the Rfam family "Eukaryotic small subunit ribosomal RNA", at positions 4 to 1116 of the family's 1831-position model. The record is from RNAcentral. Lineage: Eukaryota; Metazoa; Arthropoda; Insecta; Diptera; Culicidae.